UCAAAAACAUGUCUUUUUGAUCAUAAUUUAAAGUCUAAUCUGCCCACUGAUAUAAUUAUUAAAGGGCUGCAGUAUAUUGACUGUACAAAGGUAGCAUAAUCAUUAGUCUUUUAAUUGAAGACUUGUAUGAAAGAUUUGAUGAAAUAUAAACUGUCUCUAAAUUAAAAAUAAAAUUUAAUUUUUUAGUUAAAAAGCUAAAAUUUUAUUAAAAGACGAGAAGACCCUAUAAAGUUUUAUAAUUUAUUUAUUUAAUAUAAAAUAUAUAAUUAAAUAUAAUAAUUAAAUAAAUUAUUUUAUUGGGGUGAUAGAAAAAUUUAAUAAACUUUUUUUACAUAUAUAAACAUAAAUAAGUGAUAAAAUGAUCCAUUAUUAAUGAUUAAAAGAAAAAAUUACUUUAGGGAUAACAGCGUAAUAUUUUUUUUUAGUACAAAUAAAAAAAAAAGUUUGCGACCUCGAUGUUGGAUUAAGAUAAAAUUUAAAUGCAAAAGUUUAAAAUUUUAGAUCUGUUCGAUCAUUAAAAUCUUACAUGAUCUGAGCU
RNAcentral lists this ribosomal RNA (538 nucleotides) under Chlosyne acastus neumoegeni. Its description in RNAcentral is "partial 16S ribosomal RNA". The stretch from base 400 to 538 matches the Rfam family "Archaeal large subunit ribosomal RNA", at positions 2542 to 2680 of the family's 2987-position model. The record is from RNAcentral. Lineage: Eukaryota; Metazoa; Arthropoda; Insecta; Lepidoptera; Nymphalidae.